This 371-nucleotide ribosomal RNA is filed under the name unidentified archaeon. RNAcentral's name for it is "bacterial SSU rRNA". It matches the Rfam family "Archaeal small subunit ribosomal RNA", at positions 90 to 460 of the family's 1478-position model. The record is from RNAcentral.
UCAGUAACACGUAGUCAACCUAACCUAUGGACGUGGAUAACCUCGGGAAACUGAGAAUAAACCAUGAUAGAUCAUAAUGCCUGGAAUGGCUUAUGGUUCAAACAAUUUAUUGCCAUAGGAUGGGACUGCGGCCUAUCAGCUUGUUGGUGAGGUAAUGGCCCACCAAGGCUAUAACAGGUACGGGCUCUGAGAGGAGAAGCCCGGAGAUGGGUACUGAGACACGGACCCAGGCCCUAUGGGGCGCAGCAGGCGAGAAACCUUAGCAAUGUGCUGAAAGCACGACUAGGUUAAUCCGAGUGGUUCCUGCUAAAGGAACCUUUUGUCAGUCGUAAAACCACAGACGAAUAAGGGGUGGGCAAUGUCUGGUGCCA